GACGUACCACCCAACCGUUAUUCGGAAUCACUGGGCUUAAAGGGUCCGUAGGCGGCGAAGAAAGUUGGGUGUGAAAUACCUCAGCUCAACUGAGGAAUUGCGCUCAAAACUACUUUGCUCGAGAAAGACAGAGGUGAGCGGAACUGAUGGUGGAGCGGUGAAAUGCAUUGAUAUCAUCAGGAACACCGGUGGCGAAAGCGGCUCACUGGGUCUUUUCUGACGCUGAUGGACGAAAGCUAGGGGAGCGAACGGG
This 253-nucleotide ribosomal RNA is filed under the name uncultured bacterium. RNAcentral describes it as "partial 16S ribosomal RNA". It matches the Rfam family "Bacterial small subunit ribosomal RNA", at positions 524 to 776 of the family's 1533-position model. The record is from RNAcentral.